This 448-nucleotide long non-coding RNA is filed under the name Setaria viridis. RNAcentral describes it as "long non-coding RNA (SVIR_LNC007005)". The record is from RNAcentral. Lineage: Eukaryota; Viridiplantae; Streptophyta; Magnoliopsida; Poales; Poaceae.
UAGAGCAGUUGACUCCCAGGUGUCUUCCAGUGUGUGGCCGUAUGCUGAGAUUCCAAACUGGGGCCAGUCGGGCCGCACAGGAGGGGGAGGUACUACGGCUUGCAUGUUGCAUCUUUGGACGCCUUGCUCCAGGUACAACCGUCCCGCAUACAAAGGUGGAGACUGGUACCCGAACCACUUCAAGGUGUCCCACAGGAUAGCGGGAAAACCCUCGAAGUGCAGACACGUCGAAUGGGAGAGGCCAUCUGCGCCAUAUAGGACAUGUCCGAGGGUGACCAUCUGGAACCAAGAACCAAAACAACGUGAGAUGAACUCUAAAGGCCAGGGGUCGGACAGAAAAAAGCAUCCGGAUUUUAACCGAGGACAAGCUGGAAGAAUAAAAAAAAUCCUUAGAACUAACGAAGAGCUCUUCCGAGCAAGGUUGCUUUUGAGGAGGGUGACUUUACAG